CUACUGUUUGACAGACUGGACGCUUUUUGUUAAAGUUCACAUAUUUUGCUUCUGAAAUUAAAAAAUGGAGAAAACAAACAUCACAGCACAGACAGAAGAUUCUUCUGAUGAAUUAUCUUGUUAUGAGAUCUCAUCCAACGAUGCCAAUGAGGCUUCAUUCCACCAGAACGGUAAAAAAAACCAAGCUUGGGAGAAGAAGGACUGUCAUAGUUUUAAUGAACCUGAAAAUGAUGCAUCUAAGCCUCCUCAGAAGUGUAAGACAGAGGAACCAGCUGAUCUGAAUCAGUCUGCUGCUGCUCCAGGGGCUCUGAGUGAGACUCAACAUGGUAAACACCAUGGUUCAGAUGACACAUUUGGGUGGGUAGAAGAGAAAACACAGAUGCUGAAUCGGGAAAAAGAAAUGGAUUUCAUCCUUCAGAAGAAGAACGAUGAAAUAGCAAAUCUCCGUCUUUCACUGGAUCAGGCACAACAGGAACAGAAGAUGAAAUUGGAAAAAAAGGACCUAAUGUUGGAAAUAAAGGAAGAGGAAAUCUCCUACCUGUCAUUAUUACUGGAUGAGUUUGAAACUGAAUUAGACCUGAAAAGUAGUGAGUGGGAGGACAGCCUAGAACUUAAUAUGUGUGAGGUACGUGAGAAGGUCCAGGCUCAGAAGAAGCAGUUGGAUGAAGAAAAGGCUGCUCUGUUGGACGUUACUAACGAGCUUCAGAACAAGGAACAAAUGUUCUUAAAGCAGAAAACUGAGUAUGAGAAUAACAUCUCCAACAUGAAUAGUGUUUUAAAACAGAACAAUAAUACAAUAGAUGAACAGCAAAAAACGAUUUCACAUUUGGAGACCACUCUGAUAAUGAAGGAGGAUGACUUAAAAACCCGGACAGACCAAUGGAACCAAAUGGUGGCAGAGAAUGAAAAAGCUGUGAAAGCAAUCACGGAAAUGGAAGCUCACAGCAGUAAUGAGAACCAGUCCAAACAAACACUGGUCCAACUACAGACCGCCCUGGAUGAAGCAGAGAAAAGACUUAUGGAAAUGGAAGAGGAGCGGUCCAACCACACCAUUACGAUGUCCAUCAUGAAGGCCACGCUCACUGAAACACAGGAAGCCUUCAACAACCUGCAAGCCAAAUUUUGGGAGCAGAAGAAAGAGAAGGAAAAAAAGGACCUAAUGUUGGAACUAAAGGAAGAGGAUAUCUCCGACCUGUCAUUAUUAUUGGAUGAGUUUGAAACUGAAUUAGACCUGAAAAGUAGUCAGUGGGAGGACAGCCUAGAACUUAAUAUGCGUGAGGUACGUGAGAAGGUCCAGGCUCAGAAGAAGCAGUUGGAUGAAGAAAAGGCUGCUCUGUUGGACGUUACUAACGAGCUUCAGAACAAGGAACAAAUGUUCUUAAAGCAGAAAACUGAGUAUGAGAAUAACAUCUCCAACAUGAAUAGUGUUUUAAAACAGAACAAUAAUACAAGAGAUGAACAGCAAAAAACGAUUUCACAUUUGGAGACCACUCUGAUAAUGAAGGAGGAUGACUUAAAAACCCGGACAGACCAGUGGAACCAAAUGGUGGCGGAGAAUGAAAAAGUUGUGAAAGCAUUCACAGUUCACUGCAGUUAUGAGAACCAGUCCAAACAAAAACUGGUCCAACUACAGACCGCCCUGGAUGACGCAGAGAAAAGACUUAUGGAAAUGGAAGAGGAGCGGUCCAACCACACCAUUACUAUGUCCAUUAUGAAGGCCAUGCUCACUGAAACACAGGAAGCCUUCAACAACCUGCAAGCCAUAUUUCAGGAGCAGAAGAAAGAGAAGGAGGAGAAGAAGAAGAAGAGGAAGGAGCAGAAGCAGAAGAAGAAAAAGAAGAAGGCAGCUUCUAAAGACAAGCCUUCAAAGAAUUGGUUCAAAAACCUUUUCAGAACCAAAAGAAAAUGAGGAUGGUGCUGUGGAUGGAGAAGGAGAAGGGGCAGAAGCAGGAGAAUGAACAAAAGAAGGAGAAGGAGAAGGCAGCUUCUAAAGUCAAACCUUUAAGGGAAUGGUUCAGAAACCUGUUAAGAACCAAAAGAAUGAAUCAGAAAGUCUCCACAACUUCCCUCAUGGAUUUGCCUAUCCUACGUAAAGAUUCAGCCCAACAACUCUACCCGUCUUCAUUGGAGUCCCAGGAAUCUGUGACAUUGUUUGGGAACACAGGUAAUUAUCAAAGACCUUUUAUUUCUCAACAAUGACCGUGUUAGUGUUAGCCUUUGCUAAGCUACCCAGAUUCAACUACGCUUGCACAAGUACACCAGAUGAAGGCACUAUGUUGAUUUUGUUAUGUGUGUUUAUCAUUCUAGAUGCUCUUAAGGCUGACGGUCUGUGCACGUCCGUAAUCACACUGCUUGUGGAACUCAGCACGACCAGAAUAUCAGCGCAUGUUUGUGUCAAACUUACGUGUCCUGAUGUCAUUCCAUUCAUCUGAAUUUGGACCGAGGACCUCCUGUGUGUGACUGAAGGGAUGUUGUUGUU
Molecule: long non-coding RNA, 2479 nt
Filed under: Gouania willdenowi (blunt-snouted clingfish)
Lineage: Eukaryota; Metazoa; Chordata; Actinopteri; Blenniiformes; Gobiesocidae
Description: lncRNA (ENSGWIG00000023881.1)
Source: RNAcentral